CUAAACCUAGCCCUUCAAACGGGGCUGCCGUCCUAUGUAGGUUGGUGAUGGUGAUAGUUCUUUUCUGGUGCCUUACGUUUAGAAACCAUGUGAGUCACCGUGCUGAGACAUAACACUAGAGGCACCCAAUAAAUGCGGACAGAGGCUUGAAUGCGGAUCCACCGAUAUUAACCUCCACUUGGCAAACAUCAGCAGGAUCACAGUUGCUUCCACAGUGAUUUGUCCUCGAGUGAUCUGCGAAAACGUCACCCUCACAAACACGAUUUUAAAGUUCCUUAUACAGAGACCCAGGAUUCAAACGACGAGGUACAGCAUAUCUCCACUUCCACAAAUACGUUUUAACUUGUCCUCUAAAUGUGUUUUCUGUUAUCCCUUUCUUUGUUCUUUCCCUCCUCGUCCUUCUUUCUUUAAAUCUGGCAACAGAAUCAAGUCAAAUCCUCGAAACAAACAAAACUCUGGAAUCAGCAGAUGACAACAACGGAUGAAAAUGUGUCUUGAAGGAAAUAAAAUAGAUAAAAGCA
Long non-coding RNA from Harpia harpyja (harpy eagle), 521 nucleotides. RefSeq lists it as uncharacterized. The transcript is spliced from 2 exons. Lineage: Eukaryota; Metazoa; Chordata; Aves; Accipitriformes; Accipitridae. The record is from RefSeq and is a predicted model, not a curated record.